Molecule: ribosomal RNA, 35 nt
Filed under: Phytophthora capsici
Lineage: Eukaryota; Oomycota; Peronosporomycetes; Peronosporales; Peronosporaceae
Also listed under: 1 other name
Description: partial 28S ribosomal RNA
Source: RNAcentral
UUGGACCUGAUAUCAGGCAAGAUUACCCGCUGACU